RNAcentral lists this long non-coding RNA (204 nucleotides) under Elaeis guineensis (African oil palm). Its description in RNAcentral is "long non-coding RNA (EGUI_LNC034487)". Lineage: Eukaryota; Viridiplantae; Streptophyta; Magnoliopsida; Arecales; Arecaceae. The record is from RNAcentral.
CUGCCUCAUCAGCUGUAUCGUCUGUUCUAUUUGUGCCAUCCACUCCAUCAUCUAGAUCUGAAGUUGUUGGUACUCGUCGAUGCAUGCAGCCAACUCUUGAGCUCGCUGCUCAGCCUGUUAUCGAUCUUUGAUAGCCUACUGUCGAUCCUUGGCAGCCUGCCUCUGCACCUCCAUCAGUUGAGCCUCACAUAUAGAAUGGAUGUU